GCUUCUAGCUUGCUAGAAGUGGAUUAGUGGCGCACGGGUGAGUAAGGUAUAGUUAAUCUGCCCUACACAAGAGGACAACAGUUGGAAACGACUGCUAAUACUCUAUACUCCUGCUUAACACAAGUUGAGUAGGGAAAGUUUUUCGGUGUAGGAUGAGACUAUAUAGUAUCAGCUAGUUGGUAAGGUAAUGGCUUACCAAGGCUAUGACGCUUAACUGGUCUGAGAGGAUGAUCAGUCACACUGGAACUGAGACACGGUCCAGACUCCUACGGGAGGCAGCAGUAGGGAAUAUUGCGCAAUGGGGGAAACCCUGACGCAGCAACGCCGCGUGGAGGAUGACACUUUUCGGAGCGUAAACUCCUUUUCUUAGGGAAGAAUUCUGACGGUACCUAAGGAAUAAGCACCGGCUAACUCCGUGCCAGCAGCCGCGGUAAUACGGAGGGUGCAAGCGUUACUCGGAAUCACUGGGCGUAAAGGGCGCGUAGGCGGAUUAUCAAGUCUCUUGUGAAAUCUAAUGGCUUAACCAUUAAACUGCUUGGGAAACUGAUAGUCUAGAGUGAGGGAGAGGCAGAUGGAAUUGGUGGUGUAGGGGGUAAAAUCCGUAGAUAUCACCAAGAAUACCCAUUGCGAAGGCGAUCUGCUGGAACUCAACUGACGCUAAGGCGCGAAAGCGUGGGGAGCAAACAGGAUUAGAUACCCUGGUAGUCCACGCCCUAAACGAUGUACACUAGUUGUUGGGGUGCUAGUCAUCUCAGUAAUGCAGCUAACGCAUUAAGUGUACCGCCUGGGGAGUACGGUCGCAAGAUUAAAACUCAAAGGAAUAGACGGGGACCCGCACAAGCGGUGGAGCAUGUGGUUUAAUUCGAAGAUACGCGAAGAACCUUACCUGGGCUUGAUAUCCUAAGAACCCUUUUAGAGAUAUGAGGGUGCUAGCUUGCUAGAACUUAGAGACAGGUGCUGCACGGCUGUCGUCAGCUCGUGUCGUGAGAUGUUGGGUUAAGUCCCGCAACGAGCGCAACCCACGUAUUUAGUUGCUAACGGUUCGGCCGAGCACUCUAAAUAGACUGCCUUCGUAAGGAGGAGGAAGGUGUGGACGACGUCAAGUCAUCAUGGCCCUUAUGCCCAGGGCGACACACGUGCUACAAUGGCAUAUACAAUGAGACGCAAUACCGCGAGGUGGAGCAAAUCUAUAAAAUAUGUCCCAGUUCGGAUUGUUCUCUGCAACUCGAGAGCAUGAAGCCGGAAUCGCUAGUAAUCGUAGAUCAGCCAUGCUACGGUGAAUACGUUCCCGGGUCUUGUACUCACCGCCCGUCACACCAUGGGAGUUGAUUUCACUCGAAGCCGGAAUACUAAACUAGUACC
RNAcentral lists this ribosomal RNA (1362 nucleotides) under Campylobacter jejuni. Its description in RNAcentral is "bacterial SSU rRNA". It matches the Rfam family "Bacterial small subunit ribosomal RNA". The record is from RNAcentral. Lineage: Bacteria; Pseudomonadati; Campylobacterota; Epsilonproteobacteria; Campylobacterales; Campylobacteraceae.